Misgurnus anguillicaudatus (oriental weatherfish) is the source of this 1212-nucleotide non-coding RNA. The record is from RefSeq and is a predicted model, not a curated record. NCBI's taxonomy places the organism in Eukaryota, Metazoa, Chordata, Actinopteri, Cypriniformes, Cobitidae.
UAACACACGACGUGCUAGUUACGUAAUGUAUUGGUCAUUUUUGGUAAUUUCAUGACUUACCAGCUGGCAACGUAACUGUUACGUCCUAUGGAGGUAAUUCCAUUACCAUUACAGUACCAAAUCACCACGUCGCCAGUACGGACUCCUUACGUCGCAAGAUAACCAAGUACGUCCCAGUUACGUAAUAAAUUCGUACUAUUUUGGUAAUUUCAUAACUUACUGGCAACGUAACUGUUACGUCCUAGGGAGGUAAUUUCAUUACCAUUACAGUACCAAAUCACCACGUCGCCAAUACGGACUCCUUACGUCGCAAUAUAACCAAGUACGUCCCAGUUACGUAAUAAAUUCGUACUAUUUUGGUAAUUUCAUAACUUACUGGCAACGUAACUGUUACGUCCUAGGGAGGUAAUUUCAUUACCAUUACAGUACCAAAUCACCACGUCGCCAGUACGGACUCCUUACGUCGCAAGAUAACCAAGUACGUCCCAGUUACGUAAUAAAUUCGUACUAUUUUGGUAAUUUCAUAACUUACUGGGAACGUAACUGUUACGUCCCAGGGAGGUAAUUUCAUUACCUUUACAAUUAUAUUAAACAUUAAUUUCGUUUUCUCUUUAGGUUAGCUUAUUAAAACUUUUCAGUCUCAAAGUUUCCCUUAAAUAAGUCAAAAUAGAUUAAAUACACACGAACUGCCAUUUACAUGGGAAACAUGAAACAGCGCGCGCCUCCCGCCCAGCUGACCUCAACCAGUGCGCGCGACCGCGCGUGCACAGCAGAACGGUGGCUGACAGGACGCGGUGUUGUUUCUCUGAACUGAGACCCGUUUAAAAUACACAAUAACUUAUUUUAGUUGCUUAAGAGUUAUGAAAACAGCAUGUUAACAUACUUAUUAAGGCUCACAGAAUCUCGCUCGACAGUUUAAACCGUGUUUUAUGCUGCACUGACAGGAAUGUUCAUCUGACAGGAAAUUUCGUUUUAUCAGUUUUGUGGGACACGUUUGGCGUUUUGGACUGGUGAAGGUUAGAGCAGCGUUACCCUGGCAACCGGAACAUGAAGAGGACCGCGCGCUCUCUCACCGUCUGACAAAACUACGCCUGCACAAUUCAGAAAUGACAUUUUAAAUUAGCUUAUAUGGAGAAUCCAUUUAAAUGUUCAUUUUAACAUAUGUUUAUUUAAAUGUUUGUAAUGUUCAUGUUCAAUAAAUGAAGUAUUCAA